UACGGAGGGUGCAAACGUUGCUCGGAAUCAUUGGGCGUAAAGCGCACGUAGGCGGACUGUUAAGUCGGAUGUGAAAUCCCUCAGCUUAACUGAGGAAGUGCACUCGAAACUGGCAGUCUUGAAUAUGGAAGAGGGUCGCGGAAUUCCCGGUGUAGAGGUGAAAUUCGUAGAUAUCGGGAGGAACACCAGUGGCGAAGGCGACUACCUGGCCUGUUCUUGACGCUGAGGCGCGAAAGCUAGGGGAGCAAACGGG
RNAcentral lists this ribosomal RNA (253 nucleotides) under uncultured bacterium. Its description in RNAcentral is "partial 16S ribosomal RNA". It matches the Rfam family "Bacterial small subunit ribosomal RNA", at positions 524 to 776 of the family's 1533-position model. The record is from RNAcentral.